This 411-nucleotide unclassified non-coding RNA is filed under the name Hevea brasiliensis (rubber tree). The record is from RNAcentral. Lineage: Eukaryota; Viridiplantae; Streptophyta; Magnoliopsida; Malpighiales; Euphorbiaceae.
GAUGCUGAUCUAAAAGAGUGGGUGGUGAGUUCAUUUUAUUUUUUGGUUUGUGAAAUACAUGGAAAUCACCUUCAACUUGUUUUUUUUUUUUAAAGAAAAAAUUACAUGUUUACAUUUGAAGCCACAGAUUAAUCCUUAUAGUUUUAAGAAAAAACAAAAUAUCACCACAUAGAAAUAUCAAGCUGUUCGAAGAAAUAAUGGUAAGCUAUUCUAGCAUUUUUAAGAUUGUAAAAGAAUCUUCUUUUUGAAUCUUUAAAAGAACGGGGAAAGGGAAAACACUUUAUUUUCCAAGGAAUUUGAGGAUUUGCUUCUAUUUUCCUUCUUUUUCAUAUCAUAUAUAGUCUCACAGUUGGUCGCUUUACUAGCAGUGUACUUCUUCCAUUUGCAGCAAAAUACUGGUGUAUCAGAUGA